UUAUAUCUCAAUUCUCUCACUUGGUUCAUCAUUUUUCAUAUAGAUUUGGUUUUGCUUUUCUGUUAAGGUUGUAGCCAGGCUGAUGGGAUCCCAGAAAAACCGAGCUGAAACUCAAACCGCAGAAUCUGAAUCUGCUCCGGGUUCGACUUCUUUACAUUUAGGUUGAAAUCAGAGAAGGGAUGGUUGGGGCUAAUAGUAUUAAUAAUAAUAAUAAUAAUAAUAUCAUCAAUAGUAAGUGGAUUCAGUGAGUUUUUUUAUUGAUGCUUUGAUUGAUGAACACAGUGAUUGUUUCAAGGAAAAUUUACAAAAGGUACGUAAUUAUUACAAGCAUUUUUUAUUUUUGUUUUCUUUGCUUUACAACAUGAAGUGGGAAAAAAAAGUGAUUCUUUUGUUAUUUACGAGUUGUUCUGAUAAACGGCUUAAUUAUUUUGGUGGAAGAUAUUAUUAUUAUUAUUUUUGUUAGCCACGAACCAUCUCUUCUCAGAUUUCAACCCUUGAAGUAAAGAAGUGGAUGAUGCUCCCAUUAAUGAACACAGUGAUCGUUUCAAGGAAAAUUUACGUGGUUGACAGAUGGGACGGCUGGAAUUGCAAAUGAUAAAUUUGCAAUGAUAAAAGUAUUUUCUCUUUUCAGAAGAAAGAUUAUAUCUGGCCGCAAUAAACCUGGCAGUCUCCCUGUAGAAAAUCUUUCCCAUGCUUUAUUAUUUGGGACCUGAAAGUUGGGUGCAACAGUUUUUCAGGGAAGUGUUAAAUAACUGGGUUUUUUCCCCCUUUUUCUUAGACCUUACAGUAAGAAUUACUCUAUUUUUUACAAAAAAGCUGGAAUUUGAGAAUAAAGAAAAAGAAUUGUAGGAUUGAAUUUUGAAUUUUAUGAAUUGAAUGUCAUCUGAUGCAUAAAUCAAAUGAGUUAAUUUUAAAUUCAAUUAUCUCUUUUUUAUCUAUGAAUUUGUUCUAUUCAUCCCAUUUACAGCCAAAAUUUAAUUCUCUUUCGUCUAUCUUGCCGGCUGAACUGUAACUUUGAGGUUAAUUUUAAGGCAAUGGAGGGUAGUACAAAUUUCUUGACUAUCUAUGUUAGAUGAGAAGGAUUAGUAUGUUGGGAAAAUGCUUCUUAUUUAGUGUGAAAAGGAGCAAAUAAAAUCAGUUGUAUGACAUUAAAAAAAAAAACCGGGUGAAUAGUCAGAUUUAUCAUAGUGUCCAUUUACGGGGGUUGGUAGGUAAGAACAUUACAUCAAAAAGGAAAUCAAAGGACAAGAAAAAAUGUAAAGGAAGAUAAAUGGCUGCCUCUACUGUCGGAUUUGUUAGAAAUCUUAUCUACAAGUUUCAAACAUAGAUUUGAUAUCAGUUGUUACGAUUACGACAGUUCUGAUUCUUAUUUUUAGACAAAAACUCUUGCAAGUG
Durio zibethinus is the source of this 1395-nucleotide non-coding RNA. The record is from RefSeq and is a predicted model, not a curated record. Lineage: Eukaryota; Viridiplantae; Streptophyta; Magnoliopsida; Malvales; Malvaceae.